This 194-nucleotide ribosomal RNA is filed under the name uncultured Enterococcus sp. RNAcentral describes it as "partial 16S ribosomal RNA". It matches the Rfam family "Bacterial small subunit ribosomal RNA", at positions 337 to 523 of the family's 1533-position model. Lineage: Bacteria; Bacillati; Bacillota; Bacilli; Lactobacillales; Enterococcaceae. The record is from RNAcentral.
UCCUACGGGAGGCAGCAGUAGGGAAUCUUCGGCAAUGGACGAAAGUCUGACCGAGCAACGCCGCGUGAGUGAAGAAGGUUUUCGGAUCGUAAAACUCUGUUGUUAGAGAAGAACAAGGAUGAGAGUAACUGUUCAUCCCUUGACGGUAUCUAACCAGAAAGCCACGGCUAACUACGUGCCAGCAGCCGCGGUAA